Molecule: transfer RNA, 75 nt
Filed under: Candidatus Walczuchella monophlebidarum
Lineage: Bacteria; Pseudomonadati; Bacteroidota; Flavobacteriia; Flavobacteriales
Description: tRNA-Val (TAC) (tRNA-Val-TAC-1-1)
Rfam family: tRNA
About the family: Transfer RNA (tRNA) molecules are approximately 80 nucleotides in length. Their secondary structure includes four short double-helical elements and three loops (D, anti-codon, and T loops).
Source: Rfam by way of RNAcentral
GGGCGGUUAGCUCAGCUGGGUUAGAGCAUCUACCUUACAAGUAGGAGGUCACUGGUUCGAAUCCAGUACUGCCCA